CGAUGGGGUAGAGGCGCAGGAUUCAAGAGUAAGCUGUGUGAGGAUGACAACGUUGAUCACAGCUAAAAGGGAAUUUUGCCGAAGCAAUAAUCAGUGAGUCACAUUUUUUAUUGCUGGGGAUACUUUGAACAAGAGUAUCACUGUCAUUAUGGAGGUAUAUCCAUAAUGGGGAGCUACAGAUCGU
Molecule: non-coding RNA, 184 nt
Filed under: Mesobacillus selenatarsenatis
Lineage: Bacteria; Bacillati; Bacillota; Bacilli; Caryophanales; Bacillaceae
Also listed under: 1 other name
Description: Bacillus selenatarsenatis Lysine sequence
Rfam family: Lysine riboswitch aptamer
About the family: Riboswitches are metabolite binding domains within certain messenger RNAs that serve as precision sensors for their corresponding targets. Allosteric rearrangement of mRNA structure is mediated by ligand binding, and this results in modulation of gene expression. This family includes riboswitches that sense lysine in a number of genes involved in lysine metabolism, including lysC.
Source: RNAcentral